UUGGUAGUCUAAUGGUAGAACAAUAGACUGUUAAUCUAUAUGUAAGAGUUCGAUUCUCUUCCA
Molecule: transfer RNA, 63 nt
Filed under: bovine gut metagenome
Rfam family: tRNA
About the family: Transfer RNA (tRNA) molecules are approximately 80 nucleotides in length.
Source: RNAcentral